Molecule: ribosomal RNA, 497 nt
Filed under: uncultured bacterium
Lineage: Bacteria
Description: partial 16S ribosomal RNA
Rfam family: Bacterial small subunit ribosomal RNA
Source: RNAcentral
GAUGAACGCUGGCGGCGUGCCUAAUACAUGCAAGUCGAGCGAACGGACGAGAAGCUUGCUUCUCUGAUGUUAGCGGCGGACGGGUGAGUAACACGUGGAUAACCUACCUAUAAGACUGGGAUAACUUCGGGAAACCGGAGCUAAUACCGGAUGAUAUUUUGAACCGCAUGGUUCAAAAGUGAAAGACGGUCUUGCUGUCACUUAUAGAUGGAUCCGCGCUGCAUUAGCUAGUUGGUAAGGUAACGGCUUACCAAGGCAACGAUGCAUAGCCGACCUGAGAGGGUGAUCGGCGACACUGGAACUGAGACACGGUCCAGACUCCUACGGGAGGCAGCAGUAGGGAAUCUUGCGCAAUGGGCGAAAGCCUGACGGAGCAACGCCGCGUGAGUGAUGAAGGUCUUCGGAUCGUAAAACUCUGUUAUUAGGGAAGAACAUAUGUGUAAGUAACUGUGCACAUCGUGACGGUACCUAAUCAGAAAGCCACGGCUAACUACGUG